Molecule: ribosomal RNA, 460 nt
Filed under: uncultured bacterium
Lineage: Bacteria
Description: partial 16S ribosomal RNA
Rfam family: Bacterial small subunit ribosomal RNA
Source: RNAcentral
CCUACGGGAGGCAGCAGUGAGGAAUAUUGGUCAAUGGACGAGAGUCUGAACCAGCCAAGUAGCGUGAAGGAUGACUGCCCUAUGGGUUGUAAACUUCUUUUAUAUGGGAAUAAAACGUUGCACGUGUGCCAUUUUGUAUGUACUAUAUGAAUAAGGAUCGGCUAACUCCGUGCCAGCAGCCGCGGUAAUACGGAGGAUCCGAGCGUUAUCCGGAUUUAUUGGGUUUAAAGGGAGCGUAGGUGGAUUGUUAAGUCAGUUGUGAAAGUUUGCGGCUCAACCGUAAAAUUGCAGUUGAAACUGGCAGUCUUGAGUACAGUAGAGGUGGGCGGAAUUCGUGGUGUAGCGGUGAAAUGCUUAGAUAUCACGAAGAACUCCGAUUGCGAAGGCAGUCCACUGAACUGCAACUGACACUGAGGCUCGAAAGUGUGGGUAUCAAACAGGAUUAGAUACCCUGGUAGUC